AGAAUCAACGCUGGCGGCGUGCCUAACACAUGCAAGUCGAACGAGAAAGUGGAGCAAUCCAUGAGUAAAGUGGCGCACGGGUGAGUAACACGUGACUAACCUACCCUUGAGUGGGGGAUAACCUAGGGAAACCUGGGCUAAUACCGCAUAAUACCUUCGGGUCAAAGGAGCAAUUCGCUUAAGGAGGGGGUCGCGGCCGAUUAGUUAGUUGGCGGGGUAAUGGCCCACCAAGACGAUGAUCGGUAUCCGGCCUGAGAGGGCGCACGGACACACUGGAACUGAAACACGGUCCAGACUCCUACGGGAGGCAGCAGUGGGGAAUUUUGCACAAUGGGGGAAACCCUGACGCAGCAACGCCGCGUGGAGGAUGAAGUCCCUUGGGACGUAAACUCCUUUCGAUCGGGACGAUAAUGACGGUACCGGAAGAAGAAGCCCCGGCUAACUUCGCGCCAGCAGCCGC
Molecule: ribosomal RNA, 460 nt
Filed under: uncultured bacterium
Lineage: Bacteria
Description: SSU rRNA
Rfam family: Bacterial small subunit ribosomal RNA
Source: RNAcentral